CUGGAACCUGAAACACAGGGCCCCAGAGAGAUGUGACACCUCCAACCCAAUCCCUCACCUUUCACGAUAGGCAACAGGAAAUUGAAGAGGCCAGUAAAAAGGAGACUCGAUUCAGACAGACCUGAGUUCAAAUGCCACCCUACUUGCUGAUACUUGUUUCAGGUGAACGAGUGGGUACUACCCUUCACUGUGGGACUGCUGUGAGGGACAGGGCCUGUCAUCCCUUAGAGAUGACAGGCCCUUACCUGGCACAGUGCCACCCAGCAAAUACGAGGUGCCCCCUGGACCUCGGGUGCCGGCCUCUGCACUACUCUUGGGCUCCUUCCUGCCUCUGCUCCCAAACAGGGAGGCAGGUUCAACUUGAGUGUGAGAGAAACGUCCUGUGCCCACCACCAGAGGACUGGCCAGGCAUCAGCAGCAACAAUGUGGACUUGGCUAUGGUUGGAUCUUAUGAGACCACUCGCUGGGCAAGGAAGACUUCAUUUUCCCCACUUGUCGGGAAACACCAGCUCCUCUGCCGCCACGUAUGAGAAGAGCACAGGCUCCGGAUGCGCAGGCCCAGCGGCCAUGGCUCACGGACCCAGCCACUCCGCGGCAUGUGGGAUCCUCCCAGACUGGGGCACGAACCCGUGUCCCCUGCAUCGGCAGGUGGACUCUCAAGCACUGCGCCACCAGGGAAGCCCUGAUUCAUAAUUUUUAAAGGUUAUACUCCAUUUAUAGUUAUUAUAAAAUAUUGGCUAUAUUCCCUUUGUUGUACAAUAUAUCCUUGUAGUUUAUUUUAUA
Molecule: long non-coding RNA, 783 nt
Organism: Orcinus orca (killer whale)
Lineage: Eukaryota; Metazoa; Chordata; Mammalia; Artiodactyla; Delphinidae
Exons: 2
Source: RefSeq, a predicted model, not a curated record